Molecule: ribosomal RNA, 408 nt
Filed under: uncultured bacterium
Lineage: Bacteria
Description: bacterial SSU rRNA
Rfam family: Bacterial small subunit ribosomal RNA
Source: RNAcentral
AGCAGUGGGGAAUUUUGGACAAUGGGCGCAAGCCUGAUCCAGCAAUGCGCCGUGAGUGAAGAAAGCCUUCGGGUUGUAAAGCUCUUUUGUCACGGAAAAAACGGGGGAAGCUAAUAUCCUUUGUGAAAGACGGUACCUGAAGAAUAAACACCGGCUAACUAUAUGCCAGCAGCCGCGGUAAUACAUAUGGUGCGAGCGUUAAUCGGAAUUACUGGGCGUAAAGCGUGCGCACGCGGUUUUGUAAGUUUGUCGUGAAAUCCCCGGGCUCACCCUGGGAAUGGUGAUAAGAACAGCAAGGGUAUAAUCUGGGAGAGAGGGGUAGAAUUCUCCGUGUAUCAUGAAAUGCGUAUAGAUGUGGAGAAACACCGAUGGCGAAAGCGGCCCCCUGUGGCAAGAGUGACACUCAUG